This 88-nucleotide non-coding RNA is filed under the name Azomonas agilis. Lineage: Bacteria; Pseudomonadati; Pseudomonadota; Gammaproteobacteria; Pseudomonadales; Pseudomonadaceae. The record is from RNAcentral.
CGUUAUGGGUGGUUCCGUGUGGGCACUUGCAAGAGUGGCCGGUUUUCUUGGAGCCGGUAGGCCAACCCGCACGGUUCCGCCCACCAGA